This 443-nucleotide ribosomal RNA is filed under the name uncultured bacterium. Its description in RNAcentral is "partial 16S ribosomal RNA". It matches the Rfam family "Bacterial small subunit ribosomal RNA", at positions 338 to 795 of the family's 1533-position model. The record is from RNAcentral.
CCUACGGGUGGCAGCAGUGGGGAAUAUUGGGCAAUGGGCGCAAGCCUGACCCAGCAACGCCGCGUGAAGGAAGAAGGCUUUCGGGUUGUUAACUUCUUUUCUGAGGGACGAAGAAAGUGACGGUACCUCAGGAAUAAGUCACGGCUAACUACGUGCCAGCAGCCGCGGUAAUACGUAGGUGGCAAGCGUUAUCCGGAUUUAUUGGGUGUAAAGGGCGUGUAGGCGGGAAAGCAAGUCAGAUGUGAAAACUCAGGGCUCAACCCUGAGCCUGCAUUUGAAACUGUUUGUCUUGAGUGCUGGAAGGGAUAUCGGAAUUCCGGGUGUAGCGGUGAAAUGCGUAGAUAUACGGAGGAACACCAGUGGCGAAGGCGGGUUGCUGGACAGUAACUGACGCUGAGGCGCGAAAGCGUGGGGAGCAAACAGGAUUAGAUACCCCAGUAGUC